CCCAGGCGGCGGUGGCGGCAGCAGCAGCAGUUUUGAAGCCCGAUUUCUCAAGGUGAUCAAUCCAGACCUCUGCCGUAUGUAACCACCUCCUGGUGACCACCUCCCUGUGGGACAGCUGGAUACAACCUACUUGACUCACCCUGAUGACUCCCACACCGCGUAUGGACUGUGCAGAUAUGUCACAAUGACCACCUCUCAGUCGCAGUGUGACUCCAUGGAGCUGGUGCUUGCUUUCUCUAAACUCAAUUAGGACUCACCUUGGGAAACCUGCCUUGGUAAUGUCCUGGACCCCAAAGCCUCUGCCCACAAGUCCCUCUCUCUUGCUCCUCACCCAGAGGUUGAGUGUGUGUUUCCUGGAUGACUGUCUUCUUCCCAUCAGUCCUGGUGAUGUGUCCUGCCCUUUU
Molecule: long non-coding RNA, 404 nt
Filed under: Homo sapiens (human)
Lineage: Eukaryota; Metazoa; Chordata; Mammalia; Primates; Hominidae
Description: non-protein coding lnc-ADCY1-2:1
Source: RNAcentral